This 574-nucleotide ribosomal RNA is filed under the name uncultured fungus. RNAcentral's name for it is "eukaryotic LSU rRNA". The stretch from base 226 to 379 matches the Rfam family "5.8S ribosomal RNA". The record is from RNAcentral. Lineage: Eukaryota; Fungi.
GAUUAAGGUCUCCGUAGGUGAACCUGCGGAAGGAUCAUUACCGAGUGAGGGCCCUCUGGGUCCAACCUCCCACCCGUGUCUAUCGUACCUUGUUGCUUCGGCGGGCCCGCCGUUUCGACGGCCGCCGGGGAGGCCUCGCGCCCCCGGGCCCGCGCCCGCCGAAGACCCCAACAUGAACGCUGUUCUGAAAGUAUGCAGUCUGAGUUGAUUAUCAUAAUCAGUUAAAACUUUCAACAACGGAUCUCUUGGUUCCGGCAUCGAUGAAGAACGCAGCGAAAUGCGAUAAGUAAUGUGAAUUGCAGAAUUCAGUGAAUCAUCGAGUCUUUGAACGCACAUUGCGCCCCCUGGUAUUCCGGGGGGCAUGCCUGUCCGAGCGUCAUUGCUGCCCUCAAGCACGGCUUGUGUGUUGGGCCCCGUCCCCUCCCCCGGGGACGGGCCCGAAAGGCAGCGGCGGCACCGCGUCCGAUCCUCGAGCGUAUGGGGCUUUGUCACCCGCUCUGUAGGCCCGGCCGGCGCCAGCCGACACCCAACUUUUAUUUCUAAGGUUGACCUCGGAUCAGGUAGGGAUACAAUC